AGUGAACGCUGGCGGUAGGCCUAACACAUGCAAGUCGAACGGCAGCACAGUAAGAGCUUGCUCUUACGGUUGGCGAGUGGCGGACGGGUGAGGAAUACAUCGGAAUCUACUUUUUCGUGGGGGAUAACGUAGGGAAACUUACGCUAAUACCGCAUACGACCUACGGGUGAAAGCAGUGGAUCUUCGCACCUUUCGCGAUUGAUUGAGCCGAUGUCGGAUUAGCUAGUUGGCUGGGUAAAGUCCCACCAAGGCAACGAUCCGUAGCGUGCCUGAGCGGAUGGUAAGCCACACUGAAAUGGGGAAACGGCCCAAAUCCUAAGGGGGGGAACAAGUGGGGAACAUUGGAAAAUGGGGGAAACCCGGAUCAAGCAAGCCGGGGUGGGUGAAGAAGGCUUCGGGGUUGUAAAGCCCGUUUGUUGGGAAAGAAAAGCAGCAGGUUAAUACCCCGCUGUUCGGACGGUACCAAAAGAAUAAGCACCGCCUAACUUCGU
Molecule: ribosomal RNA, 491 nt
Filed under: uncultured bacterium
Lineage: Bacteria
Description: partial 16S ribosomal RNA
Rfam family: Bacterial small subunit ribosomal RNA
Source: RNAcentral